CAGCCGCCGCGGGAAUACGGAGGGUGCAAGCGUUAAUCGGAAUUACUGGGCGUAAAGCGCACGCAGGCGGUUUGUUAAGUCAGAUGUGAAAUCCCCGAGCUUAACUUGGGAACUGCAUUUGAAACUGGCAAGCUAGAGUCUUGUAGAGGGGGGUAGAAUUCCAGGUGUAGCGGUGAAAUGCGUAGAGAUCUGGAGGAACACCGGUGGCGAAGGCGGCCCCCUGGACAAAGACUGACGCUCAGGUGCGAAAGCGUGGGGAGCAAACAGGAUUAGAUACCCGUGUAGUCCCUGUCUCUUAUAC
Molecule: ribosomal RNA, 301 nt
Filed under: uncultured bacterium
Lineage: Bacteria
Description: partial 16S ribosomal RNA
Rfam family: Bacterial small subunit ribosomal RNA
Source: RNAcentral